GGAACUGCUUGUCAACAACCAACUUUGCUGAGACAUUAUGUCAUGAGAUGGCUAAGCUCAAUUUGGAAAUUAUCCCUUAGGGCACCUUAAGUCAUAUUUCCGUUGAGCCUACCUUGGAUGACCAAAUUGUCCUAGCGCAAUUAGAAUAUAAAGAAAUAAAACUCAUCAAGAAGAAACUUGCGCAGAAAGAUGAGGGAUAUAAGCACUUCUGACAGGAUUGGAAGGGAGUUG
This 231-nucleotide long non-coding RNA is filed under the name Setaria italica (foxtail millet). RNAcentral describes it as "long non-coding RNA (SITA_LNC000321)". The record is from RNAcentral. Lineage: Eukaryota; Viridiplantae; Streptophyta; Magnoliopsida; Poales; Poaceae.